Long non-coding RNA from Anguilla rostrata (American eel), 918 nucleotides. RefSeq lists it as uncharacterized. The record is from RefSeq and is a predicted model, not a curated record. The transcript has 3 exons. Lineage: Eukaryota; Metazoa; Chordata; Actinopteri; Anguilliformes; Anguillidae.
CCCUAUGCAGCGUGGUAGCUGAUUUAACAAGUUAACAAAAAAUGGACCGAUUUCUUCAUUCGAGCACCAUCCACGUCAUCAAGCGAACCUGAUACUGAACAUAUACCUUCAAAACGGUCUCGAAAAUGUGAUGAAUCAUUUCUUCAGUAUUGAUUUACGAGCGUCAUCGAGUACAGCAAGGACAAGCCCAAAUGCCUCUCGUGCGGUAAUGUGCUGUCUACGGAGAGUAUGAAACCAAACAAACUUAAAAGACACUUUGAGACAACACACAAAGAAUGCAUGGGCAAGCCAAAAUCAUAUUUCAAAAGAAAACGUGAUGAGCUGAGCAAGCAAAGGAUGCACUUUGGAAAGUUUCCCUUCGCAAGUAUUUUUUUGCAGGAUUUAUCACUCUUGUUUGCAUGAUAUCAAAGUACCGGUCCAGGCUAGAUGUCACAGAUGAGAUGAGAUGCGCGCUCUCGACACCCCCUGACUUUGAUUAAGCGCACCAUCCCAUUAGACAUGUGGGUCACCUCUGCCGUGGGGCACCUCUGCCGUGGGUCACCUCUGCCGUGGGGCACCUCUGCCGUGGAGCACCUCUGCCGUGGGUCACCUCUGCCGUAGGGCACCUCUGUCGUGGAGCACUCUGCCGUGGGUCACCUCUGUCCCCAAGCGAAACUGCGCCGCCGUUCGGGUGCAAUUGCUGCGGCUCCAGUUUAGGCCAGAACGUCUCUGGCUUGCUGACAGGGAUUCCACAAAUUCGACUGCAACGCUUCCCCCUAUCUGUGUCCCCCUGUUACAGCCUGGCCUCCACCCGUGCCCAGUAGAUAUGCAUAUCAAGCCGUUUCGUGCUGGAAUGAACUGUGGUCACUUGCAUACAAUACAAAAAAAACACAAAUCGCCCAGCAUGCAUUGCGAUAAAGCAACUGUCUUGAUGACCAG